RNAcentral lists this long non-coding RNA (5889 nucleotides) under Gallus gallus (chicken). Lineage: Eukaryota; Metazoa; Chordata; Aves; Galliformes; Phasianidae. The record is from RNAcentral.
AUUUUGACCCAUCCAUCCCAACUUGGCUACAGUGAUUCCCUGGUUUGGUGUAUCAGACACCAUUCUGACCCCUGCAGCUCCUCACUGUGAGCAGACUUGAUCCCCAUAGUGAGGCAGUUCUGCAAGCACAGCUGAUGGCCCAUUGCAUCCCCAGCCCAUGAGCUGGCUGCUAACCAUGGCUGAGUGCUGCCUCCCCCUCUUACCUACCAUCCCUCCUGGUUCUGACUUUGACAGGAAAAAUACAACUGGCUUGAACAUUCUAGGGGGACUGAAAUGUGAUUUUAAUUUUUUUUUAAUUUUUAAAUGCAAGAACUAUCUGUUCUUCAAAUCCUCCCACCCAAAUAUCAGAGGAUUAUUUGCUAAUGAGAAAUAAUUACAUCUCAAUAUUAAGUGACACAAGUUGUUGUUUACAUACAAUGUGGGAAUCCAGCAAGAUAUCAGGCAUAUGUUUAGGGGGAUUAUGCACAAGAAGUGAUUUCUCUUGUCAGAGAGCUGAGCCUUGCAAAUGAAAAUGACAGAUACAUGUGUUUAUAGGCAGGCUCCAGAUCUGGAUGUAUUUGCUUAUCAUUUCUCAUAAAUGCAGAUAUAUGCAGCACAAGUGCUAAUACAGCAUAAGCUGGAACAUAUGCUCCCCUCCAGCAGCUGUGGUGUGAAUCCUAACACUCAUGGGAUGCUUCAGGUUUGUGACCAGCAAGAGGAUUUGCACUGGUAAGCUAACAUAAAAACAAUGAACCUUCCUAUGGGUUGUUGCACAAUCCAUGGAGAAAUCCCAAAUGGAGAAGGUGAAGUACAGCCCAGCUUUCAGCUUCUGUUGCUGGCAGUCAACUGCUUUAGCAGCUAUCUGGAGCUAGCUGUUGCAUUGCUUAGCCAUGAUGUACAGAAGUGUUGGAAUAUGAACGCUUAUGUCAUGUUAUGGCUUUGAAGUGACCUGUAGAAAUCACCUAAUGCUUCAGUAUUUCCUUCCGGCUCACUUCAAAGCUGUAACUUCCAGUAUUUCUGUCCCAACACCUUGCAGAAACUCCUUGAAGACUGCAUCUGCUUAUUUCAUAUGCACGGGCACUUUCUUAGUUGGAUGGGAUUAUUAUUUAUUUGAUGGUAUAUUUACAGUUCAUCUCCUCUCCAGUCGGCGACUCCUUCCUGUGAGCUCUACUGGAGGAUGCUUUUCCAUCACAGUGAAAGGGUAUAGGAAAGAAAUAUCUGAAUUUACCCAUUCACACCGUGCAAAGAAGGAAUAUUAUUAAUACUCCCCUAAAAUUGUGUCCUGGGAUGUAGAUCUUAGUCAGUGAGAUUAUAGUAAACAGUAUUUUGGUACUGAUUUUUCCACUGAGACUAAAUACAAAAAUAAAUAGAUAAAUACAAUGAAAACUAGGUAUAUUUUUCCUACUUUUUUUUACCCUUGUCUUCUUUGAUCAGUUGACUUCUUGGUUGGGCAGAUGGAUGGAGGGUGACUGUUCUUCAUACAAAUACCUGCAUUUGGUUAAUCUUACGUUGUUAUAUAUAUGGUCAUCUUAUCAGGCAGCAGAUCAGAACCGUAGCACGUGUGCAGCACAAACCAUGGUGAGAGGACAACGGAGGCAAAUGGUGUCCAAGAAACCCAUCGGUUAAAAACUAUUUGUUCAAGGUCACCGUGGAUGUCCUUUGUUUCUGUUACUGUGAUGAUCACCAACUUGCUGCAAUGUCUGCUCUGCAGUGCAUCUGUCAUCAUGAGGCUGUGACACUAUAAAGAUGCCCAGCUGCUUCGCUUGAACACUUUUAAUGUGAUCUUUGUUGUUCCAUGGUUUCUCCGAACAUUUAUGUCCUCCUUUAAUGAUGAAUAUGUCCAUUCAGAAGGGACGCCAGAGGUGCUGCAGACCUCUGUGCUAGGGAAUGCAGUGCUUUCAUAGGCAUGAGCUUGGUGCUAGUGAGAAGCCACCCGCUGAGGCCUCAUGUUGGUGAGACUGGUGUUGAAGACAUCUCAGUAAGCUACUUGCUCCUCUGGAAGGUAUCCUGGGGUCCUACCUGCAAAAUCUCAUGUAAAAGCCCCUAGGAAGGGACUGACUCAUGCCAACAGCAGGACCUCACCCACAUCCCUUUUCCAUCCCGCUGGGAUGGGAAAACUGGCUGCUGAACGCACCAUUUGCAGGGAGCAAGAGAGCAGAAGAUGGAGCAUAUUCCUAGAAGUAAAGCAGGAAAUGAGCCACAGCUGUGAACCAGCUGACUGUAAAGGCCAUUCAUGUUCCAUCUUGGUCUCAGGGAUGCAGCCUGUGCAGUGCCUGCAGUUUCAGUGGCUCAGCUUCACAUUUGCACCUGGGUGAGAUGAGCAGGAUAGCUUGCAUUUUGCAGCUCCAGGGAGAAAAGAUGAUGCUUUCUGUAUGGUAAGUGGAAAAAAAUAGAUUUAAAUUAAAUUAGAUAGAAUGUGAAAGAUGAUCCUACCUCUGUUCAAGUGGUUGGUACUGUACUAAUAAGGAAACCUAUGACACCAGAUGUAAAAAUAGCUGUUACUUAAUGAGCUGAUCUGACUGGCCUCAAACAAAACCAUGGAUAUGCUGGAUAUAUUGCUAAUAUGGUAAUUGUGUUGCUUUUUAUCGAUCUGGGAACAUUUUAUCUUAGUUAAAGGGCACAGCCUGAGAAAUUGGUGUGGAGGGAUGCUGGGGAGAGACCAGCUUUGGCUUUGCAGGCAGGGUUUGGGGCUCUAACACUGCAAUACCUUUAUAAAUAACUACACGUGCAGACAUCUCCUGUGCCAGGCGCUGUGCUGCUUGACAGGAUGAGGCAAGGGGCUCAGACCAGGCUUCCUCAGGCUACCUCCAUGUCCCAGCCUUACAGAACGCGUGCUGCUGGGGCAGAGCAUCUGUCUUUUCUGUCCUACUUGCAGUGUGACUCCCUUGCACUAUUUGCAAAACAGAAGUGGGUUUGUUUGUUUGUUUGGCAACGGUCAAGGUGACCAGGAUCACUGAGGAGCUGUUUUUGCUCUCUAACGCCAGGCUUUCUGCCAGGGUAAAUUCAUAAAUGCUAGUGGAAGGGGUUUAUGCAUGCAGCAGUGAAAGCGAGAGGAAUUUCAACCUGCUUUAUGAGAAGUUGUGGUUUUGAAUGUGGAAAAGAACAGAUGAUGCUCUGAGUAUCUGACAAGGCUCUGGCCUUUGUGCUUCUGAGCAGAGAGAGCCAGCAGGGCAGGGCUGGUCUGGGGACACCAAUGGGAGCUUCCUUGUAUGAAAACACACAGUAAUGCUUUGGUUCUCUGCUCUUCCAAAUUUCUUUUUGCUAGCAAACAGGCAAUAAAAAUCUAGAUCAGUUUAAAAUGUUCCAAUCUUGCUAAAUUGAUUUUAAAAUCGAUCAAAUGGCACAACAGCCUCAAACUGGCCUAAUGAAACCAUUAUAAUCCUCAUUUAAAGGACUCUGCUUUAACCAGCAAAUUAGAAAUCAGCUAUGCCAUCAGUUUUCAUUAGUUUUGCAAGUUACGGUGCAUCUCAGACAGAAGCAAAUACAAGUUUAAGUGGCGUACCAUUAAUUCAGCUAAAGCAUCUCAGUCAGUGAUUAAAUUUACCUUUCAGCACACACGUAUUGAGGCUGUGUCCCCAGCAGCAGCAGCAGCCUCAGCUCCUGGGAGGGUUCACAGCUUGAUUGGGCAGAGCUCGGUGUGCAAGCAUAUCUUAAUGCACACACGGGGUUUUUUGUUCCUGUUUUACUGCUAGAUGUAGCUUUCUGACUGGCAGUGUAAUGGGCAACUAUAAACACUCACGAGUUUCUACUCUGACCAAGUCCAUGAGAGCUCUAAACAAGACCUGCUAACCCGGACGUCAGCCGCCAGUGCUUGUGCUUUUCACCAGCACAGAGCCAGUGUAUUUCUGGCUAUAGUAAGGACCAACUUGGACAAGAAGUUGUUUGUAAGAAUCAUUCAGGAAGCCAUCCUUCUACAGCAAGGAAAUCCUGUACUGGGCUAUAUGUGGUUCAGAGAAGCCGGGUCUGCCUGCAGGCUAUGUGCUUCAGAGGUGUUCCACCCUGCUGAUAGCUGCUGAGCAGACAGGCGGAGGUGGUGAGAACAUCCCACUUAAUAAAUAGAAAAUACCUGAAGAAAGGACAUGUAACAACAGUCCUGCACGCCCAAACUCCUGGGUGUCCACGGACAUGCCCUGGAGGCCUGGGCUGCUCAGUCUAAGAAGGGACUUCCGUGUCAGGUAGUGGUGAAAGCACCAGACUGACAAUGACACCUGUGUGUGCCUUCUGCCUUUCUGCUGCUGCUUCUCCCUCCUCAGAUAGCGAGCUCCCUGUGCAGAAUGCUUUUCCCACAGCUCAGACGGGGUCUGGCAUGCUGUAGCACUGACAUCUCGGUUACACAGAUGAAUGAAAUACCACUUGCUGUGGAAAACUUCAUGGAUGCUACAUACCCAGCAUGUCUUUUUGCCUCCACAAACCUCCCCUGGCAAUAUCACAUGGAUGUCCAUUUUUAGCUCAGUGUAGUACGUGAUUAAGUAUAACACUAUUCCUUAUUUAGAGAACAGGAUAUCCUGGACAUGAGGCAUUCUGAAGCAAGUGCUUGGAUAAUAUUUAUUUAAACAAUGGGUGAUUUAAAUAAUGGUAGGAAAAAUCAGUGUUGUGGAUCCUCCUUGGCUAUGAUUUGAGGUCACGGUUAUUCGUGUACAACCUGUUAUUUUUCUGGAACAUGCAAUUGUAAUAAAAAACCCCAAAGGCUUUUAUUCUUUAUAUAGAAGAGAAAAAAAAGAUUAUUACUUAAGUGGGGAAAAAAAUAGAAAACGUUAAAACUUUCCUGCAAGUACGUUUGUUUUAAUCCAAACAAAUGAGCUGUUACUUCUUCGGGAGGGGCAGAAAACGUAUCUGACAGCCACCUCAGAAGUGAGUGCGUUGCAUGGGGUCCAUCUCCAUACAGUGGUGGGAGACGGAGCAGAGGGCGGCCUACCACUGCUCCUUGUUCUCAGGCUCAAUCUGUUCUUGCUACCUGAAACAAGAGGAGCUCUACUCCAGACAAGAUAGCAUGGUUGUUUAUUUUCCUCUGUGAUGAGCUGUAAAAUGCAGACUACUGAUAGGAUGUAAUAACAUGGAUGAGCUGCUUCCAUUGCAAAGCAGACAGUCCCAGUGGUGUAAUUUUGGUAGGACUGGAACGAUGGGUAAUGAGAAAUGACACUUCUUACUAUUCGGUAACUGGAAGUAGUUUUGUGUUUGACCCCUUUGUUUCUGGUACAGCAGCCAGAAAUGCUGUUAGCCUGGGGGAUUGGGGAGAUGGAGUCGCUCUUUAAAUGGCAAUUUCCAAGUAAGGUCUUGACAGCAAAACUGGGCAGUUGCUUGUCCCUAUUAAGACUCCAACAUCUGACAUAUUCAGUAUUUUGUCCAGAGAGCUGGCCUGUGCUCAGAGCAUGCUGAAGCAGCCUAGGUUCUGCAGGCAGACCACUGGCCAUCCUUCACCAGCCCAGGCUCCACACUUCUCGCCUUGCUGCUGGCUGAAAAGGUGAGAGAGUACAGGCUAGUAAUUUACACCAUGGAGGUAAAAAUCAAAACUGUGAGCUAACUCUGGUCCUCAUUUUGGGGUUGUGGUUAUUGGAGUACAACCUGCUGUUUGGCAGCCUGAGUCAGCCUGCCACAUCACUGCCCGGGAGACAUACAGCUGUGUGCUGAGCCCCAGCUUGCUCUCCCCUGGAGUGGCUGCUGGAACACUGCUGUCAGCCCCGGCUUGCAUCCCACUGCCUCAGGUGCUGUCUGGAUUUCCUCCAGCCGGAGGACCUCUAUGCAUAGCUGUGGGGGAUGCAGCUUUCCCCGUGUGCAGGUCCUGCUGCGAUAGCGGCCGUGCUGCGGAGUUCCAGGCCCCAACACAGCUCUGUUGCCUCUUGCAGACUUGGCAGUGUGUGUGCCAAGCAGUGUGCAGCUUGCAGGCUGGAUCCAAAGCUGGUGUGCCGAUAG